GCUGACUCUCUUUUCGGACUCAGCCCGCCUGCACCCAGGUGAAAUAGACAGCCAUGUUGCUCACACAAAGCCUGUUUGCUGGUCUCUUCACACUGACUCGAGUGAAAUUUGGUGCCGUGACUAGGAUCGGGGGACCUCCCUUGGGAGAUCAAUCCCCCGUCCUCCUACACUUUGCUCUGUGAGAAAGAUCCACCUACAACCUCAGGUCCUCAGACCAACCAGCCCAAGAAACAUCUCACCAAUUUCAAAUCCGUGAUAGAUCACAACAAGAGAUCAUGAAGAGGGCAUGGCCGCCAUGUCAUUCUGGAGAGAGACAGAGUAAAACAAAGAAGGUGAUGGCAGCCUCUCUACAAGUCUCCUAACUUAACCUGAUGGGAAAACACUUCCUACCACUAACAGCAUCUACUUGAUUACUGAUACUUUGAUCAUGGAGUUUGGGCAUGCCACUUGAUAGAAAUUUGAAGAGCAAUUAUAUUUUUCAAAAAGAGUUUUGAAUAAUGUUAAGAUAGAUUGCAACAUGACUAUCAAUUCUUCCCUUCCCAUCAAAGGAGAGAGUCCGUUUAUCCAGCCUUUGAAUCUUGAUUAUUCAUGUGACUUGCUUCACCCAAUGUAACAUUAAUAAGCACAAUACAAGCAGAGGCUUGCCAAGAACUUGGUUUGUUUCUAAUGCUUAGAAGAAGAAUGGUGUAUGCCAUAUUUCUGCAUUUAGAACUCACGUGGAGACAUGUGUGGCCCAAUUGCUUCUCUUUCAUCUCAGGCAAUAACCAGACACGGGACUGAGGCCAUCCAUGACCAGCCAGCCCUAGCCAACACACAACACACAAGCUGAUCACAGAUGCAUGAGUAAGCCUGAGACCAGCCAAGACCAGCCUAGAAUAGAACUGCUCAGCAGCAAUAAAAACUAAAUAAAUUGUUACCUUAAGCUACUUUUAGAGCUAUUUGGAAGUGUAUUUUUGUGCAGCUAACAUUUACUAGCAGAUAAAAUGGUGAUUGUUUAUCUCUGUUUUAUUGAUGUUUUAAGGAAAUUGUUUCUAUUAAAAGGAAAUAUCUGGUCUUUGUCACGUU
This 1065-nucleotide long non-coding RNA is filed under the name Homo sapiens (human). Its description in RNAcentral is "novel transcript". The record is from RNAcentral. Lineage: Eukaryota; Metazoa; Chordata; Mammalia; Primates; Hominidae.